GGGCCGUUGGGCGCGUGCCGCCAGCGCUUCUCCCCCUCCCCGGGCCUCGGGCGCGAGGCGAGAUGAGGCGGGAACGGCGCGGCGCGCGCGGAGGGCGGGCGGCCCCUGAGGGACGGUGGAGCGCGCACGCAGCCUCUGCGAGCGCUGUGGGUGUUACAGAGGCUGUAGAGUGAAGGCGGUGCGAUAAGUUUCAAAACAGCUCCAGACUAGAUGCUGCUCAAGCACUGCAUGAUUCCCUCUGGCCCUGCUGCCUGUUCCUCCAAAGUCUGCUCUUGCACAGCACAUCAUUAGGACAACUGCUUGUCAAAAUGAAUACACUAAACGUUUGCUACAGCUGAAGUUUUCUAAAGAGUUCCUUCCAAAUUAAUCCACUCAGUGACCAUCAUCCCAUCAUCACAAUACACGUCGAGAGCAGAAACUCUUAUCUCUGUCACCUCCAUCGUACAAAAGAAAGCAAGCACAGCCAAAGAUGCUAGCCAAGGUUUUUUGUACUAUCUCACCAAGAGAUACAUCACUUACUUUGAAAAAAAAAUCUGCUAUUGAUAGUUCUCACAACAGCAACAAAAUCAAGAAACAACGCUCAGUCUGCACUGCCAGGCAUGGGAUGAAGCCAUGAGGAACAGAAACCUGCAGAGGAUGAUUCCACAGAGCUGCUCCAAGGGAAGGAACAGCUUUAAGGACUGCAUAUUUAAAACAUCCCUGGUAAGGAUUAGAAAGGUGCUUUUUACAUGCGUGUGUAAAAGACAUGACUGCAGCCUCAGGUGUUUGGGAAUGACAAGCUGCUUUGCUCUGCAACACUGCAGAAAAUUCAACAGUUUUAUUACUUUCUUAUUCUGUAGCAUUGAGUACAGAUUCAACCCCCAAUAAAUGGUACAAAAAUCCUACACGUUAUCUACUCCUACGUACACAAAGACAAAUGGUUCUGAAGAGCUUAACGUCUGAGUGCUAACCGGAUCUCCUCAGGACUGUUUUAUAGAAGAGAGAGGGGACACUUUUGCUGCAUUUCUGACUGCAUGCGAACCGUAACGAAAAUGCAACAGAACAGAGUACCUGUUUUUGUGUGUAUGUUUUCCCACUAAAAUGUAGCACUCUGUGUUCUUUCCCCAGGUCAGACCUCUUCCACUUUUUUUUCCGCCACCCUUUCAAUUGGAUAGGAAACAGGCAGUCUUCUGCUGGAGCUGAUAGGCUCCAAGGACAAAAUGCAACAGUUUCCUAAUCACCUUCCAACCAUAAAUAAUUCUGUGUUCUCUCCUUUCUACGUGAAUUGAUAUUUACACGAAAAUGUAUUAUCCACAGCCAAUCAGUUUGAUGUAGGUGUUGAUUUGCUGUCAUCUAGCACGUUAUGUUGCAAAGUGACUGUGUAGAAAUAAUUGCUGUCAGUGCUAUAGUUUCCUGGAACUUGUGACUAGGAGCAGACCGCUGUGUACAGAGGCCACAGAAAGGCUUCUUGUACAGGCACAGACACCGGCUUUGCAAUCACCGAGCGCUAUGGGCACGGCCCUCAGGAAAAGCACUGUUAAGAUUUACAGCUAAGGUAAUGUCACACAUUUACAGAGCAGCACCACAAAUAACUUGACCGUGUGUUUACAGUAAUUUUAUUUACAAGUUACCAUAUGACACCUGUAGUACUACAGUUUUUUAUAACACCAUUAGCAGUAAAAUAAGUCACAUCUAGAAUAGGAGGCAGCUGAGAAAAAUGUGCACAGAGAAUGCAGAAAAGCUAUUCAGUUAUAAUUAAAGUAGGUAUCGUUCUACACACUUCAAAAGCAAGGAGGAAUAUACAAGUUGAGAAGAGCAAGUUCUUCACCCCGUUAGUUCUACAGUAUUAAAAUUUUUCUAACAGUGACAUCUUGGUACGAUGAACACUACACACUAGCAGUCAAAUGCAAGUGGUGGGAAGAUAACUGUAUUAACUCCUUGUCCCUCUGAGGAAAAACAAAGCUUCCCUCUUUUAAAGGAAAGUUAUCCAGGGCAGAUUUACUUGCAGUGCAGAAACACUAUCAGGGGGUCAGGAAGGACAGAAUUUAAGACUAGAGAGUUCCCAUGCAUUGCAUAUUGCCUGUGCGUUCUUAUCUGGUCUUGAGUUAAGGAGUUGGUGAACAAAACCAGUUGCAGCAUUCCCCAAGUCUUUUUACAGCGCCAUGAUCUAAUAAGGCUGUGGUAGCUUAGCAGAAUCCCAAAAUCAAGCAGAGAAAAAAGCCCUUCUGCUCUCUUAUAAUCCUUGGCUCUAACGAUGCUGGUGUUGAGCCUGGGCCUUUCUCAAGAGGAAAAAUGUGGAGGAGCAAUUCCGGAGAAACUCUCUAGAUCUAGAUGUGUUCUGGUGAUAAGAGUCAGAAGAAAACAAGCUUAUUGCAGCAUAAGAUGCAACUCUUUUCUGCUUCAAAGUACUGCAGCAGCUCCCAGAAAGCAAACAAGUAUUAUGCAGGACUUUUUCCCCCAAAAUACAUCUUUAAUAGCCUGGAACAACUGUCAAUGCACAAAAUCCAUGCUAGCAGCAACCGUAGGAAAGACAAUGGAAAUAAAAGCUGCACAGUAAUAAUUACUUCCACUACUAACUACACACAGGAUAUAUUGCUUUUGGUACAAUGCCAUUUAUUGUUACAAGAAGAAAACCAGUGAUUAAGUUGAGCACACAUGAAUUAUGCAGACCUUUGCCAUGCUGGAAUAACAGCAUAUUAUACUUAGAGAAAUGUCAUCAAGUCAGCUGUAAAAAUGGCUUAACACAGUUCUCCCCAAAUACCAAACUACCCUCAGAAACAAGCCUACGAAUUAAGUUUAGCUACAAAAGAACGUUUAAGAAAUGACCACAGUUUUUUCCUUAAUCCCCACCUUCUUCUGGAGCACUGAUGUAUGCUGCACAUGAGAGCAAACGGAACACGGAGCUACAGUGACAUCAACAACGUUCAUUUCAGCAUUUCUGGAUGUGUCGACCGGCCUGCCCAAAACCGACGGGUUUGUUCCCUCCACGUUUGUGGCAUGCCUAUUCAAAGAGCCUGCAAACGUAAACACGUACCAAAACCAGCAAAACUUUUUAAAAACACAGAACACAUCAAAAAUUCUUCAGUCUAUAAACUUGCAUCUAAGAUGUCCAAACUAUGAGAUAGAAUAUCUGUGAGUUCUAAACACUGCUAGGAAUACAGGAAGAUUUGAUAGUCAAAGGUUUCUCACGUGCUAUUGAGGUUAAAGCCGAGGGGGGAGAAGGCCUGACUUCAAGCCCUUCCCCGGGUUUUCAGCUCACAGGUGGCUGCUAUCAGCAGUUCAGAGGGCUUCAAGCCAAAAUUCUGAAUAUUCAGCAUUUUUGCAUUUGCAGAUUUAAGGCAGAAAAGCAUCUUCAGAACAAGCUGCGUGUCUUGGAUGCUAAGAUCAAAGUAGAAGGUGCAUCAUAAGUCUCUUGAUAAUAACAGAUUUUAUUAUUUUGUUAUUUUUUAAACUCGUGGCAUUCUCUUACAGCUUUGGGUUUGUUUGUUUGUUUGUUUUUUCAUGAAAAGCCUGAAUUUAGAAAUAGUUUUCAGUAGUGCAGAAGAAUGCAUCAUAGCCAGGAAGAAUGAAGUUUUCCAUUGUUAUUUCUGGCUUUUUAUUCAAGGCAUUGGAACAGUAAGGUGGAAUUAACAGAUCGCUACUGUGCAAAACUGCACCUGGUGCAAUCCCAGGCACUGGAACGACCGACUGCAUUAAGGGAACUGCUCUGCCUAUGCAGGUUUUCUCCCCAAAGCCAGCAGCUGCAGUGUAACCAGGGCCCAGCUCUGUGAAGCAUGGCUGUGUCCAUGGCCUCACAGAAUAAUUAGAAAAAUAGAAAUUUCUGAAGAGCAAACAAAUGGAGAGUUGCGAGACCAAAGGGAAGCUACAGCCAUGCAAAAUAAGGAGAACAAAGAAGUGACAUCAAGUCGGUCACAGCAAAGGAUUGGGGAGAAAAAUACCAACAUGGAAUGUAUAAACCCUGAGGAAGGAAAGCAUCACUGGAAGACAGCAACUCAGCAGGAUCAAAGGUCAGCUCAGUCCAAGAAGCAACAGAAAGAGACGGAGAAGCAUUUCAAUCAACCAGCUGGCACAACUGGGAGUACCACACGAACCACAGAACGACUCACAAGAUAUACAGAAGUAUUCAACUCAGUAUUUUUAGAUGAGACAGCAUGCUGGGUUUCCAGCAUUUUCAAGACAUUUCUUCCUCUUUUCUGGGGAAUCAAAAACGCGUAAGGAUUCCUUUUAUCAUCCCUCAUGUGCUAACAAGCCACUCCUGCACCAAGAAAAUGAGCACCUACGGGAUCAUGCAUUGCUCUGCCAGAAUAAUCAACUGGGUGGGAAAGGGAAAGAACUGAAGAACGGGUGCAUGCUGCGAGGAAGAUGUGAGGACAUUUUAGAGAAAUGGCAAGAGGUUUCCAGUAUUUACAAGGUAUUCAAGGAUUUAGAAUCAGAAAAAUUCAAACCAGGGUCUGCUGAAUCUCAGGCUCAAGUUCCCAACAACAACCAAGGACUGCUUUUCACACCACACCUUACCUAAAUGUAUCUCUCCUUUCUGAUCAUUUCAUCUGCUCUCAGAUUGCCUCUCAGAAAUGAACAUACCAUCACCAGAUCGCACACUGUGCUUUCAGCAGGAAGUGCCAGAUCUGCCAGGUUCCAGUGUGAUGGAGCCUCAGCCCUGACAGGGCACUAUGAGCACCGCUCACCUCCUGCAUCUGGCAGCGCCUGAAUGCUGUUCUGCAGAGGAACCAAAGAGCUCUUCUGAAGCACUGACAUGGCAUGUAUUGAUGUGAUGAAGUUUUUAAGUCAUCUACAAUUAUCAAAUGUUAAUUUUUUUCAAGCUUGUCAAGCAUUAUGCAAACAUUACUUAGUAGGAAGUAUAAUGAAACGCACAGAACAGAGAAGUAAGAAUUUUUGUCUGCAGAGAAAAUACUGGGGUUGUAGCUCUGCGAAGCCCAGCAGCAUCAAAUCUACACUGCUCAAAUCAACAUGGCUUAUAUUCAGAAGUUGGUCUUCAAAAGACUCUGUGAGAACACGAGCUCCUCCAGUGCUGGCUAUUCGGCCUCCACAGCACUCUACCUAUCAGAGCCCGUCCCACACAAGCACUAAGCCUGCACACAGACCCCAGAACCCAUCUCUGCAGUCUUUGACUCUGAGGUCUCCCUACCCAUCGCCCUUCAAAGCUCACAGACAGGAAGGAUCCGUGUCCUGUUCUGGUGGAACAAAGCAAAGAAAAGCAAAGCGUUUUCCAACUAAUCUUACUUAAACAAGUGUGACAAAAGUACUGAGUCAAGCAGCAGCUUGUCAAAACCUCUGCUGGAACAAGAUGCAUUUCAGUCAUACUUUGAAGCAACUCACUGAAACACACACUGCAAUACAGUGUACUGGUAGGGGGAACAAAGAAAGACAAAGGCAGCUAUAGUCAAUGAAAGAGUAACAUGCGUAACUGUAUAUAUGACAAAAUUAAACUCUUAAUAUUCUGGAAAAAAAUUGCAUACUGCUGUGAAGACCAGAGAGGGGAUGGAGAGAUGAGCUGUAACGAGCCAGUCAUUAGAGCUGUUACAGACCUGUUAGUUACUGACGAGCACCUGUAGUUUCAGGUCACAUUUUUUAUGUUGUCAUACUAAUUACAGAAGUUUCUAGCUGCCGUGAUCCAAUUAUACCUUUUCUCAGUUCUUUGGCACAGCUGGAUUUCAGACUAAAAAAUAUUCAUAAAAACGCCAUUACAACGAUGAGGAGUGCAUUGUUCCCAGAAGCCACAGAACGUUUCAAACCUCAGCCUGAGAAGAACCUUUUUUGUAUCAAAAUGAAAACAUUUGGUCUCUAAGGACUGCCCAAGUAAUUCUUUGCAAGAUUUCCUGCGAAGUGGGCUACAGCUAUUUUAACAUUGACUGAGCCAAAACCAUCUCUGUGCCCAACAGUUCACAGUGUUGAAUUCAUAGCAAAGAUAUAACACUUCUGCUCGUCUAUAAGCUUCCCCUGCAAUGUUUUGGAUGGCUCUAAUUUCACACUGGUAUACUCAUACACUGAAACAGAAACUUGUGUAUUCAAAAACAUGAAUGUAGGCUAUCUGCUACUGCUCCAUUCAGGGGACUCAUUUUUAGACACUAAUGUAAUAUGCAUCAGUGUACUCGUGGUUUAUAAAACAGCAGGUCAUUUUAAAGUAGAACUUCAGUCAUUCUAUACAUGCACAGUACUAUGCUGAUUUGGUAAUACAGGGACACAAUUUAAUGAUUUUCUUUGCAUUUGUUUUUACAAGAUUCAGAUGCCGAAAACGAAACAGAACAUUAAGUUACCUGAUUUAAAGAAGAAAACCACAUACGUUUACAACAGUAAAAGAAUAAGACAAAAUAUAAACCUUUGCUACUUACAACUGAUCUAUACAGAUUAACCAAAUCACAGAUCUGUCACAAUAUAAAUGUUUAAUUGUUACAAUGAAUAAGAACAUACAGAAAAUGAAGUUUUAAA
Long non-coding RNA from Gallus gallus (chicken), 6426 nucleotides. RefSeq lists it as uncharacterized. The record is from RefSeq and is a predicted model, not a curated record. The transcript has 2 exons. NCBI's taxonomy places the organism in Eukaryota, Metazoa, Chordata, Aves, Galliformes, Phasianidae.